AGCAAACGCUGGCGGCGUGCCUAAUACAUGCAAGUCGAACGGGGAAGUACCUUCGGGUAUUGUACUAGUGGCGCACGGGUGAGUAACGCGUGGAUAAUCUACCUUUUAGUGGGGAAUAACUAGCCGAAAGGUUGGCUAAUACCGCAUAAGACCACAGUUUCUAUGGAAACAGGGGUUAAAGGCUUCGGUCGCUAAAAGAUGAGUCCGCGUGAGAUUAGCUAGUUGGUGAGGUAAUGGCUUACCAAGGCGACGAUCUCUAGCUGGUCUGAGAGGAUGAUCAGCCACACUGGAACCGAGACACGGUCCAGACUCCUAAGGGAGGCAGCAGUAGGGAAUAUUGCACAAUGGAGGAAACUCUGAUGCAGCGACGCCGCGUGAGUGAUGAAGGCCUUCGGGUUGUAAAGCUCUGUUGUAUGGGAAAAAGAAAGUGAUUGUACCAUAUAAGAAAGGAUCGGCUAACUUCGUGCCAGCCGCCGCCGUAA
This 482-nucleotide ribosomal RNA is filed under the name uncultured bacterium. RNAcentral describes it as "partial 16S ribosomal RNA". It matches the Rfam family "Bacterial small subunit ribosomal RNA", at positions 29 to 523 of the family's 1533-position model. The record is from RNAcentral.